Bombus huntii is the source of this 3488-nucleotide long non-coding RNA. RefSeq lists it as uncharacterized. The transcript has 4 exons. The record is from RefSeq and is a predicted model, not a curated record. NCBI's taxonomy places the organism in Eukaryota, Metazoa, Arthropoda, Insecta, Hymenoptera, Apidae.
AAAGAAAGUAAUAAACAUGAAAUCCGUAUGAGUGAAAAUUGAUUCAAUCUUCGUCGUCUGAGGGCCAAAUAGUCAGCUUUAUAUACCAACAGAAGGCUUUUUACAGCAUUGCAAUAAUUACAUUAACUUAAAAGUAUAUAAAUUCAACAAUGUGUGUUGUGUAUCGAUCUUUGUUUCCUGGUAGUCGUCUAGUUCUUCAUAGUAGUACACCAUUAAGUAAAAAACGCGAACGAACUACAAUCCAAUGGGGCUAUAAGUCGCUGGCGAUGAGGGUAAAAUAGCAGCGAAAAGUUUGCAGGUGUCGAGCGAGUCGUCGCGGCACGUAAGCCAACAGACAGGUCCCGAGUUCAUCAAAUGCUGCCGUAUCUUUCAAAUAAACAUUUAUGGAACGAUCGAAGGAAACAGGGAAUAAUUUUCUUUAGAAAAUGCAGUCUAACCUUACCCUUCUUUCAACAUUAGUUUCGCCAAUAGUAAAUUAUGCGAGAAAGUUUGCAAAGCGUCGGAAAAUCGGCACUUUUGAUUUACGGUCCAAACGCUUUUGCUCGAUUUUUGCGACAAGGCCGUGGAAAUACAUAGAAACAGAUAGCAGUACAAAAGGAAGGGUUGUCAUUUGCAUUUGCCACGAGUGACCCUUUUCAGGCUCUCAACGUCCAUCCAUGGAAAAACGGAAAUCAAUUUGACCCGCUGCGGACCGCUUGCCAAGAUUCCGUACACAACUUUACACUUUACGAAGUCUUGGAAAUAUUUCAAAAUUUUCCAACUAAAACAGGGAAAUGUUCUUCGAUCAUAACCUUGAAGAUAUAACAAAACAAGGGUACAAAUACUUUUACGGACGAUAACAUAUCCAUCCUCUUAAUAUUAAAUAAUAUUAAAAUAUUGAAAACCAUGGAAAUAUCGGAGAUAUUAAGUCACCGGACAUCAAACUGAGAAGACGAAGAAAAAUGUGCUUAUCGCGCUUCUUCUUUCCUGAGAUCUCCGAACCAGACGUUCUAACUAUUAACACUUCUUGCGCAAUAGUAACGACGGCCUUCGUUUCCCAUUAAGAAGCACGGCAAUAAACAGGAGAAAAAGUGUUGGUUAAGACAGGAAGGUAGAGAAUUGAUAGAUCGAGAGGGGUCCAGAGGCGGUAAAACGCGGUUGUAAAUCGGAUUCGCAGCGGGACCGUUAUCCGAACCGAUGUUACUGAACGGUACUUUUCUCCAAAACGGAGUACCGUCGUUGUAUAACCGCGGCCUCGGGCAUAAAUCAAUUAAAUUAUAAAUUACUAUACAGAAGUUGAGCAAAACGACCACCUGUUGAGGACAGCAACAGAGAGAGAGAGAGAGAGAGAGAGAGAGAGAGAGGGAGAGACAGAGAGAAGGUAGAAGCGAAAAGGGGGCAAGUAAGGGGGUGGGGGUGGUGAGGCCAGCUAUCUCGUAAAUUCUCCACUCCUGUCCCGCUGCUGUAUCCAUGUGUAGAAGUGUUUACUCCUUACUUCCUUUCUUCUUUCAUCGUGAUCUCCUUCUAGGAAGUUAUUUACGAGCAGCCUAUUGUUGCCACCUGUGUUACGAAUGGUACGCUAAUUGGACUGUUGCGUUUACCACCUUUGUUUCAUUUGCGUACGACGAGUGGCGCCUUUAAAUCAACUUAAACAUAGCGUUUUUGUCGAUUUAAAAUUGAGUGACAGGUUAAUUCCAUGAAUGGAUACUAAUGAUUCGUUGAUCGAUGAACAUUGUAAUCUAUUAGGGUAAUAUAUGGCAUUGUAAUCUAUUAGGGUAAUAUAUAGCUUUAAAUGUAGCUUUUUCAGUGAUUGACAGUGUACGAAUGUUGACCGAGAACUUUACAGAGACAACUGUCUGUGACAAUCAUCUUUCAUCGAAUCACUUUCCUGUCAAAGAGUUGCUACAUUACAAGAGACUCGUAACGUAACUCGCUUCAUCUUCCAGGAUAUUAAAUUUCAAUUUAUUUCACGCGUUACGCGUGGCAGAAAUUAAUCAAGCAGAAGGAAAAGAAGUAGUUUUCUAGAAGAAAUGAAACGAACCGGUAAGAAAGUUUGCUGGAAAAUAUUUUCACAUGUAAAUACGUACACGUAAAUUCUCUUUUGCCAACAGAGUUCAAAUUUCCAACUCUCAAGAAGGUCGUUUAUGUUUAAGCUUUGACGCGGAUUUGCUAGAUAAGCGUAUAAUUGGGAAUGCGAAGAAAGUAGUAGGUAGGGACAUUGAGAGCUGCCAGGGAUGAUUAAUUCUCGGCAGGAAAGCGCCAGACCCUUUGGAACUCGCUUGUAGCGCCCGCUCCACCCCGUCUUCUCUACCAUUCCAACAACCCCAACCACCGUCACUUCGAACCUCCUCUUCGCUCCUCGCGUACACCCGACAACCCAUACCCUCUUCAACCCUCUGAGCUGCUCUUACCACCAAGCAGACUUUCUCGUUUCGUUUGUUCUCCGGCCGUGUCAUUCGUUAUUACAUCGUAGAAACUCGCGGAUAUUUGGAAUUCCGAGUGACGUCUAAAGGCCGCCCUCGUUGCUUUAACCGGUAACCCGGCUUCUUACCGCUUGCGCGGCUUCUUUGUCUGUCUUGACUUCUUUUUUCUUGCCCUGCCGCACCAAUUUCCCAUUAUUGUUAGUCCUUCCGUCAUUUUAACACGGAGGUUUUCAAAUGAUUCUUUUAGGACAAGGACGUGGCUCGCUAUAAGUUUGAUAGUGGAUUGAUAGCUGGGUUAUUGUUGGAUUAAUGUGUUUCUUUAAUGAAUUUUUCUAAUUAGCAAUAGAGAGAUAAAAUCGUUUACUAUGAGUUAAUCAAAGGAUCUUGAAGAUUUUAUUGGUAGUCUGAAUAUUUAAGAAUUUACAGUAAACGGUAAUUCACUAGUUAAAUAAUAAACCAGAAGUUGACUUUUGUUGUUUUAAUAUUUAACGUUUCAUUAGGUAAAUAAUGGAGUGUCAAUCUAGUAUUUAACGUUCACUAGUUAAAUAAUGGGAAUUCAGAAGUCAAAAUAAUCUGUGUAUUUUCAAACGCAAUGGGCUGCCGAAGGUCCAUAAAAUUUUAUAGCUGGAGUUUAUCAUCUUCCACGAUAAUCCGGAAGAAUAUUCCUUUAUUUCGUAUAAAUUUCUUCUUCAUCGAAUAACAGUUUAUCGAAUAGCAGAAAAAACCAAUUUGCAUGCCAUUAGAUAACGUCAUUGCCAACUUCAGGUACAUGUGGAACAAUUAACAAAUUUGAAAAUUUGAAAUCUGAAAAGUAAAAAAUUCAAAAAUUUGGAAGUUAUUGAAAAAUAAAUUUUGAAACAUUUAGACUAAAAUUUCAAACUUUCGCUCAUUCAAGCAACCGAACACACAAUUAACCCUUUAAAUGCUCCGUUAUCCGACGUUAAGCGUGAGCCCUGGACGGCCCACUCUUUACGAAGAAGCACACCAUGGGCUGCGUAUAUUUCACGAGAGAACCCAAUUGAGCAGACUGAAUUUUCAUUGCAAAAUAUAUCGAUUGUGACUAAAAUAAAUUAUGUAGUGACCUGA